Molecule: ribosomal RNA, 492 nt
Filed under: uncultured bacterium
Lineage: Bacteria
Description: partial 16S ribosomal RNA
Rfam family: Bacterial small subunit ribosomal RNA
Source: RNAcentral
AGUGAACGCUGGCGGUAGGCCUAACACAUGCAAGUCGAACGGCAGCACAGUAAGAGCUUGCUCUUACGGGUGGCGAGUGGCGGACGGGUGAGGAAUACAUCGGAAUCUACUUUUUCGUGGGGGAUAACGUAGGGAAACUUACGCUAAUACCGCAUACGACCUACGGGUGAAAGCAGGGGAUCUUCGGACCUUGCGCGAUUGAAUGAGCCGAUGUCGGAUUAGCUAGUUGGCGGGGUAAAGGCCCACCAAGGCGACGAUCCGUAGCUGGUCUGAGAGGAUGAUCAGCCACACUGGAACUGAGACACGGUCCAGACUCCUACGGGAGGCAGCAGUGGGGAAUAUUGGACAGUGGGCGCGAGCCUGAUCCAGCCAUACCGCGUGGGUGAAGAAGGCCUUCGGGUUGUAAAGCCCUUUUGUUGGGAAAGAAAAGCAGCAGGUUAAUACCCCGCUGUUCUGACGGUACCCAAAGAAUAAGCACCGGCUAACUUCGUG